This is a long non-coding RNA of Drosophila arizonae, 343 nucleotides long. Lineage: Eukaryota; Metazoa; Arthropoda; Insecta; Diptera; Drosophilidae. The record is from RefSeq and is a predicted model, not a curated record.
UACAUACACAUGUAUCUAUAUAUGUAUGUCUGUAUUGGUAUUUAAUGUUAAAAUAAUAUCAUUAAUAGUUAUGUUUUAAUUCCCCAUUGACGUCUUUUCUUCUUCUUCGUCUUCUGCUUCYCCUUCUUCUUCGUCUAUUUCGGUAUAUAUGUAUGUAUGUCGUCUUGUCUGGGGCUUGGUGGGUGUUUUUUGUUUUUCUUUCUUGGGUAUACUUGGUAAUUUUGCGGGCCCUUGAGCAGGCAAUAAUUGAUCGAUCGACGCACAGCUUUAAACCUAAUUAUUCUUCUUCUUCUUCAACGUGUUCCGUUAAUGUCUAUAACCUAACAACAAUGCUCAACAAUUA